GGGAGACUAGAGUUAAGCUGCCACAGUUAAACAUCGCCGACGAUGACGACAGACUUGGGUGUGCGCCGACGACCAACUUAGGUAAGAUGUCAUAGUUAAACAUCUUCUCCGAUGACCACCUCUGUUCGAAUCCCUACUGCCGUGCAUAGAAGAUUAGGGCCGCAAGGUGCAUGAAGGUCAACCUCGCAAGUUACAUUUUCCAUCUACGGAUGCCAUGCAAUACAGUAUGUGGGCCAAACUGAACCUUACUAUUUUCCUUGCACGGAUGGCACGCAACAAAUUAGGCCAAUGCAAAUGGUGGACAAUAUUGGAAGCACAUCUCUUACUCAAUCAGGAAUGGUGAACAACAUACGUAGUCAAACUUCGACAGUUGGAUCACAAUUUGUUGACUUCAAUGUAGAUGUGAAUCCAAAUGGCCAAAUUUUUUUUUAGUUUAGUAGUACUACUUUUAUGACUUUGGUUUGUAAACAAUGGAUGGUUUGGUUUGGUUUGUAAACAAUGGAUGGAUGUUUGACUUGA
This is a non-coding RNA of Camellia sinensis, 519 nucleotides long. The record is from RefSeq and is a predicted model, not a curated record. NCBI's taxonomy places the organism in Eukaryota, Viridiplantae, Streptophyta, Magnoliopsida, Ericales, Theaceae.